This 73-nucleotide transfer RNA is filed under the name Pristionchus pacificus. It matches the Rfam family "tRNA". From Rfam's summary of the family: Transfer RNA (tRNA) molecules are approximately 80 nucleotides in length. Their secondary structure includes four short double-helical elements and three loops (D, anti-codon, and T loops). Lineage: Eukaryota; Metazoa; Nematoda; Chromadorea; Rhabditida; Neodiplogasteridae. The record is from Rfam by way of RNAcentral.
UGGGGUAUAGCUCAGUGGUUAGAGCACCCGCAUACGUAUCGGAAGGUCGGGGGUUCGACUCCCUCUGCCUCCA